This 612-nucleotide long non-coding RNA is filed under the name Ananas comosus (pineapple). RNAcentral describes it as "long non-coding RNA (ACOM_LNC024809)". The record is from RNAcentral. Lineage: Eukaryota; Viridiplantae; Streptophyta; Magnoliopsida; Poales; Bromeliaceae.
GGUAUUGAUUGCAUAUAUAUAGAGAGAGAGAGUAGGGCUGUUACUCUUAUGAGUGUCAGGCCCUUUUUACUCAUAAGUUGUUUACGAUGAUGGGAUUUUCAAAUUGAUGAUCCACUCCGUUAAAUAUGAUCUAGAGUAUUUGAAACUUCUAAAAAAUAAAUUUCGUAAUUUUUCGAAAUCAUAAUAAAGUCCAUCAAGCGGGUAUGAAAUGAACGGUCGAAAUCGAACGACGUCUUAAAAACGGAUGAUCGGAUCCUUCAAUUUAAGAUCGGAGUUAUUGAUCUUUAUCUAGGUAGUGAAUAGAAUUUUUUAUUAAAAAUUCAACCGAUUCCGAUUCUUUUACACCGUUAAACUAGCAAGUAUCCCAUACCGGCCGUUAAAAAUUAUCAAUUUUGCAACCUUUUGAUCGCAAGGUAAAUGAUGUCAAAAAAUUAUGACAUUUGAUUUCUAGAAGUUUUAAAUGCUCUACUCUAGAUAACGUUUGACGGUAUGGAUCGUCGAUUCGAAAUCUCUAUCAUCGAAAACAACUUAUACGUACGAAAGUGAUCAUACUCAUAAGAGUAUAGUAGCUGGACUCUAUAUAUAUAUAUAUAUAUAUAUAUAUAUAUAUAU